This 311-nucleotide ribosomal RNA is filed under the name uncultured eukaryote. Its description in RNAcentral is "partial 18S ribosomal RNA". It matches the Rfam family "Eukaryotic small subunit ribosomal RNA", at positions 1470 to 1796 of the family's 1831-position model. The record is from RNAcentral.
CCCUUAGAUGUCCUGGGCCGCACGCGUGCUACACUGAUGCAUACAGCGAGUACUCCCAGCUCCGAGAGGCUGCCGGUAAUCAGCAAUAUGCAUCGUGAUGGGGAUAGAUCUUUGGGAUUAUAGAUCUUGAACGAGGAAUUCCUAGUAAUCGCAGGUCAUCACCCUGCGUUGACUAAGUCCCUGCCCUUUGUACACACCGCCCGUCGCUCCUACCGAUUUCGAGUGAUCCGGUGAAUCAUUCGGACCGCGGCCCCUAGGCAUGCGGAAAGUCUAGUAAACCAUAUCACUUAGAGGAAGGAGAAGUCGUAACA